Non-coding RNA from Pelobates cultripes (western spadefoot toad), 686 nucleotides. NCBI's taxonomy places the organism in Eukaryota, Metazoa, Chordata, Amphibia, Anura, Pelobatidae. The record is from the annotation of a GenBank genome assembly.
ACUGUUUUGGGGAAAGGACAACAAGGAAGCUGGGUUGUCACUGGGAUCUUCCUGCACAGCUUCCUCGUGAAACCUGUAGUGGUGCUGGCAGCUGGGAUGUGACAUCACUCCAACCACAGCAUCACUGCAAGGCAUGGAUGGAAGCUGCAGGAAGUGUACCGUGAUCUCAGGAGACCCACUGAACCCCAGGGGGAGGAUUCACUGGGUCCCCCCAGCUCUUCCAGAGAUAGUAGGGAGACUGGGGUGAACUUAGACAAAAAUCACUGUAAUUCUGCAGGAACAGUCAUGUUUUCAUUUCAGGGUUAGGCUGCUUCCUCCAAAACAGCAGAUUAAAAUUCCACUAUAUCAAUCAGACAGUCACAUGAGUAGCAUGGAGGUGGAACAGCACAACAGAGACCAGUGGUGUGAGGGAGAAAAGGUAAGUAGACUCAAAAGCCUUGCAGUGGGGGUCCAGUCACCUAAACAGUGACUAGGGCAAUAGCGCAUUAGGAAUACACAUUUGUAUCUCUAACGCUAUAGUGUUCCAUAAGAUCCGGCAAUCCCACAUAAGGAUAGCAAACAUAAGGGUAUUGCAGGUACAUCUCACUUUAGUGAAUAAUACUCUACGUGUUUCAGCCUGCCAAAGGCACAUUUUGUGAUGCAUUGCAGCUUAAAGGGACAUUCUGGACUCCUAAAGCACUUUAGCU